CGAACGGAGCUAAUACCGGAUAAUAUUUUGAACCGCAUGGUUCAAAAGUGAAAGACGGUCUUGCUGUCACUUAUAGAUGGAUCCGCGCUGCAUUAGCUAGUUGGUAAGGUAACGGCUUACCAAGGCAACGAUGCAUAGCCGACCUGAGAGGGUGAUCGGCCACACUGGAACUGAGACACGGUCCAG
RNAcentral lists this ribosomal RNA (186 nucleotides) under uncultured Staphylococcus sp. RNAcentral's name for it is "partial 16S ribosomal RNA". It matches the Rfam family "Bacterial small subunit ribosomal RNA", at positions 152 to 334 of the family's 1533-position model. The record is from RNAcentral. Lineage: Bacteria; Bacillati; Bacillota; Bacilli; Caryophanales; Staphylococcaceae.